This 24459-nucleotide long non-coding RNA is filed under the name Ananas comosus (pineapple). RNAcentral's name for it is "long non-coding RNA (ACOM_LNC027800)". The record is from RNAcentral. Lineage: Eukaryota; Viridiplantae; Streptophyta; Magnoliopsida; Poales; Bromeliaceae.
AAAAACUUAAAAGUAAUUAGACUAGAAUGAUAUUUAUGCCGCCUCCAUAUGAGAUAGGCUAAUACACCAACAAAAUUAAUAUAAGAAUAAUAUUGGGAAGAACUCAUAAAUGGACUAGUCGAACAUAUCAAUAUUUUAAAAAUUGGGUCGAACAGUAAUCCAAAAAUAUUACUGGAUCAAAGGUCACUAGUUCGACCAGUUGAUAAAUCAUUGGUUGAACCAACGCCAUUGGUUCAACCAGUGACAUCAGCGUGACAUAAUAAAUAUUUAAUUAUUAUUUUUAAUUAUAGAUAUAUAUUGUUAUUAUUAUUUCUAGUAUUAUAUUUAACUAUGAAAUAUUAAUUUCUAGACCAAAUUAAAUAAAAAUAAGUUUUCAAGUUUCACCUUUUAUAAUAUUAAUCUGUACUAAUAGAAAAGAAAAUCAGCUAAGUUGAUUUCAAACUAUUGGAUUUUAUUAUAAUUUGAUAAAAAAAAUUUCAGUAGGCGUGAUUAAAACCAUAUUGGUUCACCAGUUCAAUAGUUGAAUUGUUGGUUUGAACAAUUCAAAAUAAUUUUUUGACUUAUCUGAUUCAAAUGGUUGAACUAAAUUGCUUUAUAUAUUGGAUCACGAUCGUAUAGGCCGUGACAGGCCGAUUCGACCCGAUUUUUUAAAUACGUAAAAAAUAUAUUCCAACAGUUGAGAGGUGAAAAAGCAAAAGCCCCAUGUUCUAAAUAUCUUCUACACUUUUGCUACUUUAAUACUUUGUAAAUAUAUAUUUUUCAAAGUUUUUGGGUCAAUUUCAUUUGUGCCCCUCUAAACUUCAAAAAUAUCAUAGAUGCCCUAUAAAUUUGAUUAUAUCACAAUUAUCCCUACAAAUACUUAUUAUUUUUCAAAUAUACCCAUACCUUUACUAUUCAUCUCUUUAUAGAAUGAUAAAAUAUUUAGAUUAUCAUAAAUAUGAUCGAAAUGUCUAUUUUGCCCUUAACUUCUAAAAUUUUUUACAAAAGUAUUUUAGCAUGAUAUAUUUAUUUUAAAAUAUUAAAAUAAACAGUAAAAUAUAUCAUUUUACUGCUGUAUGGUUUAUAAAAUAAGAUACUUUAUAUCGUUUAUUUUAAAAUUCGAGAUGUCAAAGCACAGAAAUUUGUGCUAGUUCAAAUAACUUAAUUCACAUCAUGCAUAUAUAUUUAAGUUAUAUUUUGAAUAAACUAUUUAACCUAAUUUUAAUGAGCCAAUUGAUACUUUAAACAAUUUUUUGCUAAAUUUUUUUCAAAAUUUUUGAUUUUUUUUAUUUUUUAGCUUAACUUGUCAAGAUUAUAUAUAUUUUUUUAACUGACAAAAAAUUUAUUUCUAAAUAUAGGUUAUUUAUAAAUUUAAAAGAGUGUUUAUAAAACUAUAAAUGAUUUUAUAGUCAAUUAGAUAUUUUAAGAUGGUAAUGACAAUAAGGGCAAAGUUGGAAUUUUGUUUGUUGUUUAUUCAAAAUUGAUAAUAAAUUAGUGUGAAGGUUAUUUUUGAAAGUUUCUCUGUUUUAAAAGGUUACUUUUAAAAUGUUAUUUAUGAUAUUUUAAUUUUUAUAGGGGCAUUUAUGAUAUUAGACUUAUUUGGAAGGGUAGUGAUGAAAUUUUCCCUUUUUUUAACUAAUCAAAGAUCAUCAUAUUUCACUUUAUACUAUAUUGCCUUACCCAUUUUGUUGUUCUUAGUUAAAACAAAAAAAUAAAAAUAAAAAAAUAAAAAAAAAAUAAAUUAGAACAUUACAGAAAGAAUCAAAGCGAAUCAAAUGUGUCUAUAAUUCGUGCACGAAAAGCAAUGGAGCUCGACGUUGCCACUUCCAUUGGGUGCUACUACCUAUCCUUGUGAGAGCAAAAUAGUCAUUAUACUAAAAUACAGUGAAAAACUUUGAUACUAAAAUAGAGCACCUAAUCAAAUAUUUAGGUAGCGUUUGGUUCGGGAACAAAAGGGGGAAUAAGCUCUUGUUCCUUCCUUCGUUUUUAAACGCUGCGUUUGGUAUCCGAGAACAGUAGCUCUCGGGUUUUUGAAAUAAACCGGUAUAAGAUUGGAACUGUUAUUCCACCUUUUUCUUGGAACAAGCUUGUUACCAGGUGAGAAUAAGAUAAAUUAAAGUGUAAAAAUAAUUUUAAUUAUGAUAUUAAUUAAUUUAAUUAAUAUAUUUAAAUCAUUAUUUAUUGCUUAAAUAAUAAAAUAAUUUAUUUCUUUAUUAUUUAUAAUUAUUAAUAAUUACUUACUAAUAAUUUAUUAUUAAUUAAUAAUUUACUAUUUAUAAUUAUUUAUUAUUUAUUAUUUAUUAUCUAAUUAAUUUUUUAUUAAUUAAUUAAUUUAAUUAUAAUUUAUUAUUAUUUAAUUAAUUUAUUAUUUAUAAUUAUUAAUAUUAAUUUAUUAUUAUUAAGUAAUAUUUUGAUUUAAUUAAUUCAAUAAAAUAAUUUUAAUUUAAAAUUAUAACUCUUUUUUUUUUUUUCCAAUCUAACCAUCCAAACACUAUUUAUCUUAUUUUUUAGAACAACCCAAUUUUUAUCCAAAUACAAAAUUGGUCUACUUCCUGCUUAUAUUGAACUUGUACUUAUCCCUGAAAUAAGCAAUUCUUAUUUAUACCCGAACCAAACGCAGUCUUAGGAUUAAAUGCAUUAAACCAUUUAAAUUUCUGCCAAUUUACAUAUAGCCAACUAAACUUUAAAAAUAUAAUAUUUUUUAUUGGAACUUAAUUUCAAAAUUUUCGAGUUAGAGUUAAUGCAUGAGAACAACUCGACCAUUCGAUAUAUUUGCAAAUAGCUAUCUAAAAUUUCAAAAUUUCAUAUUUUCUUAUCUUAACUUCCAAAAUUUUACAUUUGUAACUAAUGUUAGCCAAAUAAUCAAGAAAGAAUAACAGACACAUGCCGAUAAUAUAUACAGAAGGAUCUUUAUGACGACAAAAUUUAGUCUUAUAGUACGUAAAUUAGUUUUUAAUUAGUUUAUCUUUUUACAUUCUAAUAGUCACCUUAAAUUGAUGGAAAAAAAAUAUAGGUAAUUAUUGUGAAAUUUGUAAGUUUAGGUGGUGAAUAGAUAUGAAUUUAUAACAUUCAAAUGGCUAUGUGCAAAUGGUGCAUAAUUAAGGUGGUUUUGGUGUAUUUAACUCUAUAUUGCGUUAGAUAUAAUUAUUAUAAUGAGCAUUUUUUGAUAGCUUAAGUUUUUAGAGAUCAGAUGAUUAUUUUCUAUAUUUUACAAAGUCCUAGAUUAACAGGUCUUGAGUGGGUAUUCCACUAAACCCAUAGUUCUAUUUAUUUCCUCCCGUUUAAUUUAAAUUUAUUUGUUGGACCUGUCAAAACGGUUUCGAGCUCGAGCUCAAAUGUGUAAAACAGUGUCGAAUAUAAUUAUUAACAAUAUUAUUCUUUAUUAGCUUAAAAUAUUUGGAGACAAACAAUAUUUUAUAUAAUUUAAUCUGAUAUCAGAUCAGAAAAUUCUAAUUGAAAAUUUGUACCAAAAGAUCGGAUAAGUCACUUGGACGAUUCUGAUUGGCCCAAUAAUGAAGUGAAGGUACUAUCAAAAAUCUGGGGGCAAAUUAUAAGUUAAAGAAGAUUCCCUUUUAAAAAUAAAAACAAAGAAGGUGAUACAAGCUGUGAACUUUCUAAAGUUUUUUUUACUUUCCUUUUCUUUUCUUUUUUAAAUGUAACUUGACUUUGCAAAGGAUGAUCGACCGUCCCUUGAGCAAGUGGCAAAAGGUUUAGUGAUUGGUACUCGAGAUCCAAGUUCGAAUCCUACUUGAUUCACAUUUCAAGCUAAUUUUAUUUCUAAAUGAAAUAAACAAAGCGGGUAGCGUGCUACCUAUCUGUCAAAAAAAAAAAAAAAAGACUUUGCAAAGGAAGAUGUGAAUCUUCAAUUUGACUUGGCAAAGAAAAAUUGCAAUGUUAGCCCCUAAGCUUUUGUCUGAUUUUCAUUUUAUUCCUCAAAAUUUCAUGCUCAAUGUUGGCGGACCUCAAGCUAUUAAAAGGGUUCCACUUUAGUUCUUGGGUAUAUCUACUAUCUAAGGGCAAAUUUGUCUAUAUCUAGUGCAUUUGUAUAUUUUUGUACCUAUCCUAACUUGUAUUUUUUUAAUUUUUUAAUUUCAAAAUUCAAACUAAUGAAUUUACAAUCUUCUUUUCUGUACAAAAAUUGGACCGUUGAAUUUGAUGAGAUGGAUAAAAAACUAAGGAAUUUAUGGUAUACAGAUAGAGUGGCGGAUUCACUAUUAUCUCAAUGAAGUCUACUAAUCCCACUGAGAUAGCCAAUCAGUCAGGUUUUAUGUCUUUCUUUGACGUGUUGACGCGACUUUACGAUCAAAGUUGAUUCUAAAGUGGAGUCAACAAAUAGAUAGAUAAUGACUUUCUUUCACUACAAAAAAAAGAAAAAAAGGGAGAGGCUUGAUGGUUGAUCAAAUUCAAUCGAUCCGGCAGAAAGAAUUUUAUAAAAAAUAAAUUGCGUAAUUAUAUAUGUGAUCAAUCAAUAAACGAUUAUUUUGUGACUUUUAUAAUAAAAAAAAAAUAGUCGACGAUGAUGCUAUCUAUAUCGUUUUCAGAGUAUGAAAACACGUUGAGAAUAAUUGUUAAUGGAAAUAGUUCAUUUUUUAUUUAUGUAAUAUUAAUGAGUAGUUUACUCUUUUAGUUUAUGUUUUUAUAUUUUCUCUUCAUUAUAUAUUUGACCCCAUUAAGAAAAUUUUUUGGAAUCGCCGUUGUACAGAUAUAUAGAUGAACUAGGUGCAUGGAAACAAGAAGUUUUACACUAAGAUAGGGGCUAAAAUGAAACAUUGUUGCAAGUUAGGGGACUAAAAUAAAAUGUUAAUGAAAGUCCGCGUCCGGAUCGUGAACGUCGAAUUUUAAGUUUAAGGACUGAAAUAAACUUGACAUAAAGUUCUUGGACUGUCCUAAAAGAGUUUAUUUUAGUCCCUGUACAUAUUUACUAUAUUUACUAUUCAAGACAAACUAUUAUCUGCACAUAGUGCAUAUGGAGUUGAGCUAGAGUACUCUCAAAAGCAUUGAGGGGUUGGUGCUUUUGAGUUUUUAGCCACUGGAUGGUGAGAUGUAGGGUUGAGAUGAUGAUAGUAGAUGGUGGUAGGUGGAAUAGUAUUUGAUCCAAAGGUUAUUAAUAAUCAAAUAGUAGAUCCAAGGGCUAGAAACUCAAAAGUACCAAGGGGUUGGUGCUUUCGAGAGUAUUCUAGCUCAAUUCUUGCAUAUGUAUAUUUAUUGCAUUAUAUAUUUUGACUCUGCUAUCCAUUCAUUAGCAAUCUUUUCAUUAUUGAGAAAUUGGAUUGAUAAAUAGAAAAUAUAUAUUGGAUGAAAUAUCAGUAGAAUUUAUGAUGUAUGAACAUAAGAUAAUCACGUUGUGACACGCUCAGGAUUUAAAAUAGUAGGAUUUGAAAUAGUUCUACAUAUGAGGUAUAUUAAAACUAAACCUCUUAAUACGGCUAUAAUAUUUUGAACGAUAAUUAAGCCCAAAAGAUUAAUACAGUUAAACAUACUAGAACUAGAAUAGUUCUAGAAUAGAUGACACAUUGAAAAGUAGAGCCUUACAGUCAGUAUUAGAGACAAAAACCAGCCGAAAGUAGCGGAGUCUGAAAAUGACAGUUUGAGUCAGGGUGAAAUAUAACAUGACUAAACCUCUUAAUUAAUACGGCUAUAAUAUUUUGAAUGAUGCAUGGUUAAGUCCAAGAGAUUAAUACAGUUAAAUAUGCUAGAACUAGAAUAGUUCUAAGAUGGAUGACUUCCUAGGAAGUGGAGCGUUAGAUUCAAUAUCAGAGCCAAUCACUAAUCGGAAGUAGCAGAGUCUGAAAAUGACAAGUUAAGUCAAGGUGAGAUAUAACAUGACUAAACCUCUUAAUCCGGCUAUAACAUUUUGGACAGUGAUUAGAUCCAAAAUAUUAAAAGAAUUAAACGUGUUAGAACUAAAGUAAUUCUAGAAUCGGUGAUUUCCUGAAAAGUGGUAGGAGUGUCAACGACCCCAAUACGAGCGAGCUGGGGCUGGCUCGUGAAUAAACGAGCCGAACACGAGCUAACUCACGAGUUUGCCAAUGAACAACAAGUUAAGAGGAUUAUAUUGGAUAUAUAUAAAAAUUAAAUUUAUAAAAUCUUAUCCAUUAGACUUUGAUCAAAUGGUUGAAACUUUACAUAUAAAUGAGACUUUUUAUAAUUGAGCCCGACUUUAUAUUUUUAUUUUGCUAAAAAUAAAAUAAUAAAAAUAUAUAUUAUAUAUAUAAUUAUUUAUAAAUAUAUAUAUAUAAAUAUAAAUUAAAUAAAUUAUAUAAAUAUAAAAUAUAUGUAUUCGAGCUGUUAUCGAGCCGAACAAGAACGAGCUGAUCCUAACUCGUGUUCGGCUCAUUUAUUAAACGAGUUGAAAAAUUCAGCUCGUAUUCAGCUUGUUUACUAAACGAGUGAUUCGAUCUCGAGCUCAUUUCGAGCCGAGCACGUGCUGGCUCGCGAACAGCAAGCUGGAUUGCCACCCCUAGGCGUCCCACAGGUGCAAGUGAUUAUUUUCCCCUGAAGGUAAGAACGAUAAGUGAAUAAUUUUGUAAGUUUUGGAUUUGCAAAUUCGAAUCCAAAAGCCUGAGGACGAAAAUGAAAGAAGAGUGAGAGUUCAGGGACUAGUGAUGCAAUUUACCAAUCAUAAAGAACAUUCAAGAGUCGUAUUGUCCUUUUCCUCAAAAGCUUUUGUUAAGAUAUAUAAUUAUAGUUGGAGAUUAGUAAAGAGACAAAGUGAUGACACCGCAUUUUGGUAAGUGGAGAAUUAACAACGAAGCGACUAGUGGCCACUUAUAAAGUGCAAGUUCAAGUUUGACCUCGUCAGCAACUGGUGAAAUAUCUUGCAUUCAUCAAAAUAUAUUUCUUUUACAACAUAUUCUUUAACAAAUAUCUGGGCUUGAGAUAUUUUGCAAGGCUAUGCAAUGAACAUAAAUUUAAAAAAAAAAAAAAGAGUUAAAUAAUAUUAAAAACUAGAUAAGAUUAGGGAUCCCAACGGGUAUGGAUACCCGAAAUAUUAUCUGAACCCGAAUCUGAACCGGACGGGUUUAUCCGAAUUGUCAGAUGUGACUCGAAAUCUACUAUCGUUUCAGGUUCGGGUUUACGACUCGCCGAUAGCUUCGCGGUGCGACCAAUUUGGAAAAGAAAAUUAUGGGGGAAAAAUGAAUGUCUGUGGUGGGUAGCGGAGUCGGCCCGAGCCCGUAGCCCACCACUGACAUUCGCCCGAGGGUGCGGGGGGCGGUACGGAUCGGAUCCGAAACCCGUUAUGAGUUUUUUUUUUCGUUUUUGCCCUAGAGACGUGUGAUGGUGGUUGGUUGUAAUUUGAAGAAAUUCAUCAUUUCGUUUCCGUUUGUGCGUUUGUCGUAACACGAAUUAAACGGAUAUGAAUUCGGUUAUGAGUAUAAAAAAUAAAAAUCCAACGGAUAUUGAUACGGGCAUGGAUUUUAUAUUUACCCGACUCGAACCCGAACCCGAAUAAAUUAUAUAUAAAAACAUAAUUUAUUUUUAUUUAUUUAUAUAAUAUAUUAAAUAUUUAAUAAUUUUUAUCCUUUAGAUCUUCAUCCAACGAUAUAAGUUUUUAAAACCCGCCGGGCUCAGGUCUGGGUUUAGAUUUUAAUUUGGUUUUCGGAUUCGGUUUCGGAUUUUUAAAAAUUCGAUCCAAAUCCGACCCGUCGAUAUCCCUGGAUAAGAUCAUAAGACAUCCUAAAAACUUCUAGAUAAUUAUAUUUUAAUAUUAUAUAUUCAGCAAACUUAAAUACUUAUUUUCGGUUACAUUAGUUCCGAGUGAAAACGCCAGUAAUAUUUAGUAUUCUAUUUUAGAAAAAUGAUCCCGCAGCAGUGAGCACUAUUUUCAUCCAAUAUUUGUUUGGGAACACAAAAUACCCAUACUUAAUAUUAACUUUUUUUACAUAUUUAUUUAUUAUUAGCAACAUGCAUGUUAUUCUACACACACCAAAAAGCAUUGCAAACUAACCAAUAAUCAAAAAAAUAAUUAAGUCCAUUUAUUCGUGGGCACAAUCAAUCACACAAAAUUUGUGUUUAAAGAAAUAAUGAUGCGGUAACAAAAUUUAAUUAGUUAUAUUCUAGGACCAAUUAGAUUCCACUGUGUCAAAAUUUUGGGCCCAAAUUAUUUAGGACUAGGUUAUUAGGUCCAAAAUUACAGAUAAUUUUGAAUAUAAAGCACUAUUUAUUAUGUGUUUGAUUUGUUAAAUUUUAGUAAUUCAAUAGCGAGAAGAAUCAUAAAGAUAGACGAGGAAUUAAACAUAAGUAUAUUUUAGAAUUUUAAGUUUCUAAUAUUUUAAUUUUACAAUGAGUGCUGCCACAUGUACCCCCCAGUGCAUUCUAGAACAUCUAUUAACCUAAAUGAAACAACAAUGUUUCUUACCACGUGACAAGAAACUAUUCAUUCUCAUAAUAAUAAUAAUAUAUAAUAUAAUAUAAUAAUCUAUUAACCCCUCUCCUCCCCAACUAUACGUAAUGUUUCAUCAAAUCUAAUUUUUUUUUUUUUUUUUGUAAUAACUCUCUCCCCUCCCCACCCCCCCCCCCCCUCCUUUCCCAACUAUACGUUCUUGGCCAUAAACCCCUUCCCCUCCCCUCUCCUCCCCAACUAUAUAUUCUUGGCCGUAUAGUAUAUGAUUUAUUAAUGUUUCAUCAAUUAUUUGUAUAUUAAUGUUUUAUCAAUUAAUGAUAAUUAUAAUCAUAAUUGAUUACUAGACCAACUUUAAAUACGUCUUUGCCUUUUCGUAGCCACCGUUUCAUUCUUUCAUUUUGCUUAUUUUUUAUGAAAUUUUAAAAUAUAUUUACCUAAUAUGUAAAAUAAUUAAAUUUUAAAUUUAAGCUCUCAGUAUCAAUCAUUAUAAGAUUAAUUCUAUUUGAAUGUUCUCGCGCCGAUCCUCCUCUACACAUAUCGCCUUUGCAAUCUCCAUGCCACCGAUCCCAUUCGUCAGUAUUUUUUUUUUCAAAAAUAACAAUUUUUUAUAUAGAUUUGAGUGAUUUGGCGAAAAUUAGCAACAUUUUGAGGUUAAUGAGAUUUUUUUUGGUUCAUGAGCGAUUUUGCAUGAAUAGGUGACAUUUUGAAAUGCUAUAUAUUAUAGAAAUAUUAUAUGUUACUUGCACAAUUAUUGUUCGUACUAUAUUACACCUUCCAGACUAAAUGAAUGAACAAUUUAUAUUAUAUAUGUUAGUAUAUUUCUAUAUACUCUAAUUAGGAUUUACUUAAAAUAUUUUUUUUCCUGUUUCAUCGAUUGUUAUAUAAUUGUCUAUAUUGUACCCUUUUUGACAUACUAAUAUUUUAUUUAGUUAUAUUAAUAUUUUAUUAUUUAUAAAUUUUUUACUUUAGCAGUAACUAGGGGUGGCAAUCCAGCUCGCUGUUCGCGAGCCAGCUCGUGUUCGGCUCGAUAACAACUCGAUUAUAUUUAUUUUAUAUUAAUAUAAUUUUAUAUAUUAUAUAUAUAAUUAUAUUUGUAUUAUAAAUGUAAAAUACAGAUUAUUAAUUUUAAUUUUUAGCCCAAUUUUAUAAAAAAUUCAGCAUAUUUAUAAAAGAGGCCCAUAGGCCCAUAGGCCCAUUUAUAUUUAGAGUUGCUUAUUUUCACUCAUGGCCCAUGGCCCAUUGGCCCAUGAAAUAAGUUCCUCUUUUUAUUCCUCAAGGGCCAAAUCACCUCUCUCUUUCUCUCUCUCUCGAGGGUGCUCCAGAGCGAGCAGCCAUGGGCUGCGGCGGAGGCGGAGGCGGUGGGGGGAUGCUGCAGCGGCGGAUGCGGCGGCGGCGGCAGAGGUACGCGGUGCUGGUGUGCACGGAGGAGGAGCCCGAGCACGUGCGGAAGGCGCACAGGGCUACUUCGGCAUCUUCCCGAAGCUCCUCGGCGACCACAACAAUGGCGGCGAUGACAAUGGUGAGGAGGAGGAGGAGGAGGAGGAGGUGUGGGUCGCGUAUAGGGCGGCGCGAGGUGAGCUCCCCCAGGAGGAGGGGGGUUUCGAGGGUUUUGAGGAUUACAAUGGGUUCGUGGUGACGGGGAGCUGCAGCGACGCCCACGACGACGAUCCUUGGAUCCGCGACCUCGUCCGCUUCCUCCAGAUGCUCAUCGCCCGCCACAAGAAGGUGCUCGGCAUCUGCUUCGGCCACCAGGUACGAGCUAAUGAGCCGAACACGAGCCGGCUCGAUUAAGUUUCGAGCCGAUUACGAGCCAGAGUUUUCGAGCUCGUCACGAGCUCGAGCCGAACACGAGCCGACCUAGAAGACAACGAGCCGAGCUCGAGCUGGCUCCAGCUCGCUCGAGCUCGGCUCGUUUACAGCCCUAGCAGUAACUACCUGUCGCAUCGCGCGGGUAGCUACACUAGUAUUGAUAAUAUGACAAAAUCAUUAUCACACUGUAAUCAUUAAAUACUAAACCCCAAAUACCAUUAUUAAACCCUAGAUACUAUCAUUAUAUCCUAAAUCCUAAACCCUAAGGCUGCGUUUGGUUCGGGUAUAAGUAAGAACUGCUAGUUCUAGGGAUAGGUACAAGUUCAGAUAUAAGCAGGAACUAGACCAAUAUUGCGUUUGAAUGAAAAUUAGGUUGUUCCUAGGAAUAAGGUAAAUAGUGUUUGGACAAUUAGAUUGGAACAAGAGGAAUAAACGUUAUAAUUUGAAAUUAAAAUUAUAUUAUGUAAUUAAUUAACAUAAAAAUUUUUGAAUUUAGUUAAAAAUAUGACCCAACUAUAUGAACUAAUAAUAUUACCUUAUUUUUAUAUAUGAAUAUGAUUCAUAUUAGUCAUGGACAUGGCACCUACCUUAAAAGUUCUCCAUCGAGAUUGCUGCAUAAGAUCCUAAUGAUGGUCAUUCGUCCUGAAGUUGACUAACGACUAGCACUGCAUAAGAUGAUUCAAUCUGAUUUCCAUUCCAUUCUGAGUAUAUCACUAUAAACUACUUGAAAUUAUUUUCUAAUCGCUUAGGUUUCGUGCCCAGAUCCUUUGCAAUUCAAGAAGAAUGAGCCUACACCACCUGAGCCUCACAUUGAUCAUCCAGUAGCCAAGAGUUCCGGAGGACUAUGUCCAUCUAGCAUGCUACUAUAAUGAUCAUAUCAAUGCCACGACAAAUACUUACGGUGUUUAAAAAGGUACAAGGCGCAAAAAAACACAAAGAUCUUAUUGAGCCUAGGCGCGAGGUGCACCACGAGACGCAGGUCUAAAGUAGGUGAGGCGUAUAUCUAAUAAAAAUAAAACACUCUUAAUAAACCUAUUUUAAAUAAAUAUUUUAUAUUAAAAAGUUCUAAAAUAGCUUUACAAUAACAAAAUAACCAUAAAAAAGUAAAGAAACUACAUUCAUAAAAUAUUUUCAGCUGUAAAGAAAAAAUUAUGUUUCAACUUUUAAUUUAAAAGUGCUUGCUACUACUUCUUGCUUCUUACCGUCGCUACUUAGUGCCAUUGGGGAGUGAAAAAGAAAACAACCAAGAGAAAGGAAAAGAAAGCGUUUGAAUUUGAAAUUUUUUUAAACAAAUUUUUUAACGUUUUAAAAUAUAUUCAAGAAACUCAAUCCAAAAAUCCAAAGCAUUGACAUAUUAAAAGUAAAUAUUAUGAGGUGCGUCUGGGGUGCACGCCUCACUCCCUGAGGCGCUGAGACUCGCGCCUACGCUGAGCCAUGCACCUCCUUUUCAAACACCGAGUACUUAAUAUAUAUAUAUAUAUAUAUAUAUAUAUAUAUAAGCAUGAAGCGUUGGUAUGAAAAGAUGGUAUUAAUACAUAGGUAUGCAAACCUCAAAGAACAACCGUACCGAGACCACAAUAACUAAUAUCAAGUAAAGGGGAAGUUAGGCAAGGUUAAGCAAAUUGGGUGUCGCUAAACCCACUUCAGAAAGUGCACCAACCUGACAAUAUUCAUGGGAUGUCGACAGCUUAUGCUCAACUCCUCAAACCCCACUCUCUGUAAAGUUUCAAGGAUUUGGAGGCUGAGUUCCAGAACUUGGUGCUGAGGUUCUGAAAGAAGAACCAGGUUUCGGAACCUAUCAUCAAGUUUCACAUAACCAGUACUCUCUACCUGCACUGCUACACUGGAUGGCUCAAGAACAACAUCUCUGGUUCCAAAACCAAGUCCCAUACGACUUUUCCAGCAGUGCCAACUUCACAUCUUUUGUGGAAUUGCCACACGAGAACCAAGUCCCAUACGACUUUUCCAGCAGUGCCAACUUCACAUCUUUUGUGGAAUUGCCGCACGAAUUCAACUAGAAUCCACUCCCAACCUCUCAACACGAUAGAGAUAGCGGGAGUUUGAGAAAACAAGAAACCACGAUCAAUUUCGCAAAACAAACAUUCAAAAACGAAGUCGACAAUUUUCCAAUACGACCAACAAAACUUCCAAAGAGUCCACUUAAAAUGCCCAAGAAAACCAAUGUACUCAAAAUCAAGUUUAAAUACUCAUCAAUCUUGGGGAUUCAUGGAAAAUAGUUUUAAGAAAAAUCAAGAGUUACUAGGACCUUUCUUCGAGAAUAAGGUAAAACCUCUCCAAAACUCGUAAAACCUAAAUACCCUAAUGCUUAAAGCAAGAAACUCUUGUGCUGAACCCUAGAUACUUAUAUCACCUACAAGUUAUACUGUUGCUACAAAUUGUUUAAUUUGAUUACAUACAAUUAAAAAUGAAAUUUUUAAAUUUUCUCAAUUUAUACAUAAAAUAGUAGAACGAUCCACAAUGCAUUGAAUAAGAAAACAAACGAAAAUAUUGUGGCACGCAUUGAAUAAGAAAACAAAAUCGUAAAAUAGGAAAUGCCUUCAAACUAAUUAUACAUUCCCUUCCGAGCGCUGUCCUUUGAUGACCCAUUUAAUUUAAUGUUUAAGGACAUACAUGGCACCGUCGGCCCUAAUCAAACAAGCUACAAUUCUCUCUUCUUCUCCUCCUCUCCCUAAUCAAACAAGCUGAAGCCCAUAUCGUCGUCGCUCUCUUCCUUGGGCUCCUCCUGCGGAAAAGAAACCAACAAUAAAUAAAUAAAUAAAUAAAUAAAUAAAACAAAAUAUAUAUAAAAAAAAUCAGAAAGUAAGAGUUGAAAAAAAAAGAAAAAAAAAACAAAGGCAACCUUCUUCUCCUCGGCCGCUGGGGCGGCAGCAGGAGCAGCGGCGGCACCAGCACCGCCGGCCGGAGCAGCGGAAACGGCAACUGCAGCGCCGCCUCCGCCUGCAAAACCAUCAGCAAAAGCGUAAAUACAUGAAGAAAGCCAAACAAUAAACAGAGAGAAAAAAGAAGAAGAAGGGUAAGAGAGAGUAGUAGUAGAAUAAGUAGUAGUAGGAGAUAGAGAACCAGAUCCGACGCUCAAGAUGAGAUCGUCGAUGUUCCUCUUCUGAAGGAGCUUGGCGAAGAGCGCGGGCCAGUACGAAUCGAUCUUCAAGUUCGACGCCUUCACAAUGGUCGCGAUCUUCUCCGCCUGCUUAACGUUCCAGAUCCAAGUCAAGUAAAGUUUGUUUUUUUUUAAAAAAAAAAGAGAUUAAAAGAGAGAGAGAGAGAGAGAGAGAGAGAGAAAGAGGAGGAGAAGAGGACCGAUUACCGUGAUUGGGAUGCCAUCUUCGUGGAGGAUGAGCGCGGCGUAGGUGCAGGCAAGCUCUCCGAUCGCAGCCAUGCUCGGAUGGGGAGAUCGAUGAAGACGCCACCAAAGAAUUAGGGUUUUCUGAGCUGCGGCGCCCCAAGGAGAUCCUUUUAUACCGCGGGAUCGGGUAAUGCUUAGGGAUGCCGAUGGUUAAGGAUAUAUAUAGGAUAGGGCUACUAUACUAAUAUAUGAGUAUAGAGUCAUUUAUACUCAUAAGUUAUUUUUAAUGAUGGAUCUUCCGAAUCGACGAUCUACUCCGUUAAAUAUAAUCUACAGUAUUUAAAACUUUUAGAAAAUAAAUUUCGUAAUUUUUCGAAAUCAUAAUAAAGUUCAUCAAGCGGGUAUAAAAUAAACGGUCAAAAUCGAACGACGUCUUAAAAAUGGAUGAUCAGAUCCUUCAAUUUAAGAUCGGAGUUAUUGAUCUUUAUCUAUGUAGUGAAUAAAAUUUUCUAUCAAAAAUUCAAUCGAUUUCGAUUCUUUUACACCGUUAAACUAACAAAUAUUUCAUACCGGUCAUUAAAAAUUGUCAAUUUUGUGACCUUUUGAUCAUAAGGUAAAUGAUGUCGAAAAAUUAUAAAAUUUGAUUUCUAGACAUUUCAAAUGCUCUAGAUAACGUUUAACGGUGUGGAUCGUCGAUUCCGAAGCUCUAUCAUCGAAAACAACUUAUGAGUACGAGAGCGAUCGUACUCAUAAGAGUAUAGUUGUAGCAUACUGAACUUCUAAGGUUAUGAAGUUACGGUGUAUGCUAGCUCGGAAAGUCAUUGGAAUGGUUCCGGUGAAGUUCGGAAGCAUUCGGGUGUUUUCGGUACACGUAGGGCGCGAAGACGGAACCCGAAAAGCUAUAUUGAACCGUGGACUAAAUUCGACAUAAGCGUGGAUGAAAAGAUGAUAUAAAUACGCUCAAAAACAUAUUUUUGGGGUCUCGGUACGAUUAGAAGUGAAUCGAAAAUCUACGGAGCGAAAACGGAUCAAAACGGAGCGAAAUCGGCAACUGCUGAAAUUUGCAUAUUUUUGGGACCUACGGGGUCCGGACCAUGAAUCCAAAGUCCGGACCUGAGAGCGAAAAACGCCCAGUUUGGGCAGUGCAUGAAUGGGAGAGUUGAGGGAGUUUUCAGCAUUUUGUGCAAAUGGGAUUAAAAAAGAGGGUUGCUUCUCUCUCUCUUUUCCUCUCAUUUCUCUCAAACCCAACCCAAACACUUCCCUCUCUCUCUCUCUCUAAGCCUCCUCAUCCUCUCUCUUCAAGGAGGAGAGCAAAAGAAGGAGAAGAAGGAGAAGAAGCUUGAAGGAAGGCUCUCCAUCUUCUCCUUCUUCUUCUUCCUUGGCCAUUGGAGCUAGCUCUUGAGGUAAGCUUUUAGGGCUUCAAUGGUAGAAUUCUAGGGCUUAAAUCUUUUGCUCUAAGAAUGGUUUUAGAUGAAUCCUAGGAUGCCAAAUAGAUACUUAUUGCUUGAAUCUAGAGAUUUAACAGUAUAUUCUUGCAAUAGUUGCAUCUAGGGCUUCAAAAAGGGGGUUUUGCAAAAUAUGGGGGUUUGAUCUAGAUUAACCCUAUGUAAACCUAAUUGUUAGGUUUUCUGACGCGUUGGCGAAGUCGGUUCGGCGAUUCGUCGAGCCUACGCUAAGAUAUUGAAGAAACGGACGAUUUGGCUUCGUUUCCGCCUAGAGGGCCGAGGCGACGUCCAAAAAUCACGAGAACGGAUCCCAAGCGUCGUGGCAUCAAGUUAUAGACCUAUAAAAUUCGGGGCCGCGAAUUGACGCACGGUUGAUGACUAAUUGCAAGAUCGGGCCGAACUGGACGGCGUGUGCCGCGGGAGGCCGAUUACAAGUGUCGACAAGCAAUCGGAACGCGAUAAUAGGUGGGUUGUGCUUACCGAAGCGACUAGGUCGCCUCCAUGUCAAAGUGGAGUAUGAAUUCGUAUUGAUACAUAUAAUGGUAGUUUGUAGCAUUGUAAAUGCAUGUGAUAGAUGCUAAAAAUGUAUAAACUGCCAUUAGAUGAUGACAUAGUCAUGAGCAUGAAAUGCUAGAGAACAUAUGCAUGUAAAGAUAGUUAAUUGCAUAGAUGAUAAUUGCAUGUUGAUAUGUUGAAAUACAUGCUAGGAAAUUGCAUGAUCACAUAGUCUAAAAAUGCUAAAUGAAAUGCAUGAUUGCAUGUUCAUAUAUAUGCAUAGUGGAAUAAAUGCUAGGUGCAUUUUAGAGGUGCAUUUUAGAGCUAUGAGAUCGUGUUAGAAAGAACAUACGUUGGCAUUGUAAGCAUGUGCUAGAGAAUAUGUAAUUAUAAAACUCGAUGUGGACAAUUAGGAUGUCAAGUAGAUCGAGUGGCAUUAAACCUAGUGCUGUGAACCUAGGAUGGAUGAGAAUGACAUAUGAACCUAGUGUUGUUAAACAUAGGUUGGUAUCAAACCUAGUAUUGUUGAACAUAGGUGAAUCAUGAGUGGCAUUAAACCUAGUGUUAAAGAAUAUAGGUUGAACAAGUGAACCUAGAGUAAAGAUCUAGGUAGAAUGACAUAGAACCUAGUGUGGCAUCGAACCUAGGUUAUGAUAUGUAGCGAUACCUAGUGUGGGGGAACCUAGGUUGAGGAUAUAGUGGUAGAGUGAUCACUAGGGUGUGCUUGGGUCGAACCUAAAUAGGUCGACAGCAUAGGGUGUGUGUCUACCCUUGAGACUUGGAAAGUGGAUUCCGGAAUCCUAGGACUUAUGGAACACCAGGGGAGAUGUUGGGCGUGUGCGACGAUUUUGCCGCCCGGGGCGAAACCAUUGUUCGGCGUGUGCGACGAUUUCGCCGCUAGAUGGUUAAGCCAGAUUUGUGGAUUAUGCCGCCAGGUGACUUGAGUCAUUGUUCGGCAUGUGCGACGAUUUCGCCACCAGGUGGCUAAGUCACGGAGCGCGGUAGGCUGUGGGUACAGCAGAUUGCGCAGUAUUCCGCGUAGGAUUGACUCAGGGCAGAGUCGGGUGGCUAGCUGGAUUAAGGUAGAUGAAACCUUAAGGGCUAGUGGUAGAUGAAAUGGAUUUAAGGUAGUAGAAACCUUAGAAGCUAGUUGGACAUGAGCUAGAUAGCGAGAUGGAAAGUAGUAUCGGGUGAUCUACUAGUUUAUGCGUUAAUUGCAGGGUUGCAUAAGUAUGUCAUUGCAUAGUUGGCAUUACUGCAUAUGUGAGGCAAAGCAUGUAAAUGUUAGUUACAUAUUUAUGAUAUUAUAUCUAUCUGUUGAAUUAACAUAUUGUUUGCCUCCUUUGGACCUGUUGGUUGAGCUUUUCCCUUGGGUGGCCGUACCCACUAGAAACUAUGGAGUUAGUUCUCACCCCACGUUGUUUCGGGGUGUUACAGGUUCGCACAUGAGCGACGCGGUGGCGCGAGGCAAGGGCGUAGCUUCGUAGAUAGCACCCUACUUGUAAGGAUUGAGAUUUUGACAGUACAAUUAGACUCUCUGUUGACGAUGUUUAUGUGUGUAAUUUAAUUACAUAAGCACUCGUCAAAUUUCAGGCGAAAAUGAGCUAAAACGGAGAAGUUACGCGAUUAUUAGUUUUCACUUAAGUGAAUAGUAACUCCGAUUUUCCGGAGAAGCCACGGAGUAGAGUUGGCUUUCGGCGCGUAUCGGACUCCGUUCAUAGCGAUCCAAUAGCUCGUUUCAAUCGGUUCAGCUAUUCUGGAACCAAUGGCACUGACGGAUUUCAGAUCCGAUGCACGAUUUUCGAGAAAAAGGGAUUUUAUCAAAAAGAGGGUUUCUGAUCAUUGCUAUUCGUGCAUUUUGAAACUCCUCGUGCUUUGUACAAGUGAUCUGGAGAUGGGUGAGAGAUGUUUCAAGUACCUACUGGUGGUAGGGAAUUCAAAUACGAGUUUGAAUUAACGGAUUUCGGGUUUCAACCUAGGCCUAUAUAUGAUAUGUGGAUUAGUUGGAGAGAGGGCAGGUUUUGUCGCUGAUCGGAGACCAAAUCAGACGAAACAAAAUGCUAGGUUCGAUGCACCCGACGUGCUGAACGCAAUGGUGCUGUCGGAUCGAAAAUCCGACGAACGGAUUUUCAGGAAACGCGAAAUGUUCGCUGAGGGUCGAAUUUGCAAAGUCACAACUUUGCAAAAUUGCGAUAUUUUAUGGUACCGGGAAUCGCGUGACAAAUCGACUGCGGGUUCCGCGUCGAUUUUACGAUUCACUCUGUAGGUACUUGAUAGAAUUGUUAGUCUUGAGACUAUUUUGCAAUUGACGCUAUGUAAAUAGUAUACAACUAGGUUUCAUGAGGAAACCCUAGCUUUUGCAUUCCCUCACUUAGCCGAACUAACCUAGCCGCCCCACUGCAAUCGACCUUCCCCCAUGCGCAUGCUCCGGCCGCUGCCGCGAUACCUUCGAUCAGCCGAAUUCCCUGCACCAUGCGACCUCUCUCUCUCCUUCUCGGCCAAUCACUCCCGCCCGUGGUACGAACACAGGAAGUCUACCUAGUCGAGCACCAUCAUCCCUGCAGAGACCAACCCGGCAAACAACGUCGCCGCACGAUCCUGCCGUCUGGCCGCGUCGCCGACACAGCAGAGCUAGCUGCGUCACCUGGCCACACCCUGGCCGGACCGACUGCAGCUCGUGCCUGUUGAUUCUGAGCCGGCCCUAGAUUGGCCGCCCAGACUUCCCCGCCUCCUGGCGACCUCUCGGCGCAUCUCCCCCGUCGCCCCGCGCACCUCUCCGCGCUCGCUUCGCUUCCUGCAGCUCUUCCAGACCGACGGCGCCGAGUCUGGGCUCGGCUACACCGACCUCCGCGCGCACGCCGCGCCACUGACUCGGACGCCUGCCGACCUUGGACCUCCGCGAAUCUUCCCGCGCCUGAGCCGGGUGUUGUUUUGUUUUAUGUUUGUGCGCUGUGAUACGCUCAGUGCGCCUCUACCGCGGGUUUCCCGCGUCCCGAACCAACGCCGCCGCCGACGCUGAAGCCUCCAGCCUGCAGACCUGCAGCGAGGUCGGCCCGCCACGGCUUUUCUAUAGCUCGCCUGCUGCCCACCUGGGGUGACACCUCUCCCCUCGACCUUAGGCUGACGAACUCAUCUCCGGCCGCCGGCUCCCGGCCUGCGCUUCACCCUGCAGCUGUGCUCCUUUGAACCCAAAGGAACUUGGCGAACCUUGAAUCUCGCCGCCGCCGCCAAGCCGGCACUCCCGCGCCGGCCAGCUUGUCGUUUUUGUCUUGCAUCGGACCCCUUCGACUGCCGCCCUUCCCGGCCGACCCCCGCCGUACGGCACCGCCGCCAUCUGCCCUAGUCCUUCCAACUCGCGUAAGCUUUAGUUUAAGUUUUUCAACACACUGUUUAUGGUUCGGAUCCACCGGUUCCAGCGAUCCGAUAGCACUCCGAUCUACUUGGAGGUGAUCAUGAGAUACUCGAGUGUAUGAGGAUCAUCGUUAUCACCUCCGUAGGUCAGGCGAUGCGCGCUGUUUGCGUGCAUAGACGCGAAAAUUUUUAGUAUACAUCGCGCUGUUUCGUAAGUUCGCUCAUGCGCUAGCGCCCUCUUCACAGUGGCCGAAUGUCCAAACGUUUUGAGCUACCGCCCCGGCCCCUGCUCAGACCUGUCAUAAGGUGGUCUUCGGUUGGCUCGAUGCACUCUGUUUGUGUAGACACUGGGCCAUAAAAGCGCUUGAAUCGAAUGAAAUAUCGAUUUUCGGUUAAUAGGAGGCUUUUUAAGCAAAUUUUUGAUUUGUCGUAGCUCUGUUGGCAGCAUGGUGAACUGGGUGACCUCUAGCCUUGAUUUGUCAAGGCCUCCGACCUUUGACGAAGACGAAAUUGUAUUUCUCGUUCUUUUGUCGGCAAAAUCCGCAAGACGGACCGUUUUGUUCGAAUGUAAUUCGCGGUGGCUUUCGUGAGCUAUUUGUGUGGAUCACUGAGCCUUAUUGGCUGGUCACUUCUGCAUCAUUCGUAGAGUCUCAGAAAUGACGGGUGAGUCGACGGUUGGUCGGUGUUCGAACAUAUACACUUUUCGUGUAACCCGCUCGGAUCCCAACAAUUUCCACCAAUAGUUGUUUCGUUUUGUAUCCUUGUUUUGCUGCCUUUAGUCCAUCUUAAAAUACAGUGUUGUGCAGCAUGAAUGAUCGUGCAUUGAGUCGUGCCUUCCGGGAUAGUAGUGGGUUCCCGUGUGAAGUCCCGGUGUCGAUUUCUCGGACUUCCGGCGAGUCACGCUAAUCCCGGUAUUAGGAAACCGAUCCCUGUGGGAUGCUGUAGGUUAUGCCUUUGUAGGUUUCAUUAUUGUGUGUUUAGACACUAAACCUCAGUGGAGCCCUCCUUUAGGUCCGUUGAACAUUCUCUUGACAGUCAGAGCGAAGCGCAGACAGUUUACGCAGGUUGUACUUCGAUCCGACGUCGGUACUUAGUGUGCCGCUCCGUGAUCAUUUCUCUAUCCUUGUUUCCUGCUGUUUAUUACUAUUGCGUAGUGUACGGCUUAUGAGCCCUUGCACCUCCAUUGUCUACAUCUUACUUCUACUCAUUUGUUUGCAGAUUUAUUCUGAAUAGGAGUAGAGUAUUUAUACAUAUUUCUUGUUCCUACUUGACCUGUUUUCUACGAUACUUUUGUCAUGUUAUAGUAGAACGGUUCCCUGAUUUAUUCGUGAGAUCAGUGAACCUAGGCGGCUCCGAUUCUUAGUUAUCAUACUGUCGACUUAUUCGCUGAUUCCUUGACUUUUGUCCGAGUACCUUUUGAGUCGUUGUAUCCGCUCGAGGGUAGAUUUCGCUAUGCCGAUCGUGAUGUUCUAGAUUAUACUACCAGAUUAUUUGUUGAUCGCUUCUUGCAUAUAUAUACCUACUUUUGACCUAAUUAUCAGUAUCUACAACUUUUGAUAGAUGUUAUGUUUCAUCCUAGUUACCUGAGUGGUCCGUUCUUCUUGUGCUUCUUUUAUCCAGUCGGAUGAUCUAAUACUUGUCGUAGGCCCUGUGGUCGAGGAUUGUCGGCUGGUUGCCCGUAUGGUUAGCCUUUGAGGCAUAUCAGUCAUGGAUUGCGCCGAACUCUUCUCAUUUUCACGAAUACUGUGCUUCUGAUCCACCGCAAGGGGUUUCUUUUUUCCGAAAAAGUGUUGUUGUGUCAACUUGCUGAGCCCAGCGGUCAGACCUAGUUUAUAUUCAGGUAAUUUUAGUGGCUUUUGCCUGAGGUCCUUAGACCGACACGGCGGUUUAGAUUGGGUAUUUUGGACUUCUUGUUCGGUUGACGCAUACGUCUAUAGUAGCAGUUGUUGCAUGCAUAUUUACAGUUCUUUCUAUAUACUUGUUUUGCUACUAUAGUUUGAUACCCGGAUAUGUUUUAUAUUCUUCUUUACAGUAGCGGUAGUCGUUCUUAUACAUUCUGUUCAUAUAUUAUUGUUGCUACUGUAUUUAGCAUAUCUGCCCUUGUUGUUAUUUAUCUCUUCCUGAUCCGGUGAGUACUUCUCGCCUUCUUCGGCUUGCGGUACCCACUGGGAGGGGAGACAUGUUUACAUGUUCUCACCUCCCCCACCAUUUUUCAGGUAUCGCGGGCGAUGAGUAGUGGGACGAGACGUGAGGUACGUGUGUAGCGGUCGAUAGAGCUUCCGACCCAGGUUAUUUCGAUUUAGUUAUUACCCUUAUUAUUCUGUUGAUAUAUAGCUUAGUCGGUUUACAUGGUUCAGUUUUGUUUUAUUAUCUGAAUAUCUGAGUUUUCAGUUGGUUUUGGAAUAUAUUAAAGGAAUUGUGUUUUUUUGAAAAAUAAAAGGUUUUCUACCCCUCGUGGUAGCGUUUUUAAAAGAUAAAAGUUUCCGUGUAGGGAACAGUUUUCAAAAGAUUUUCUGUGGCUUUGUAUCUUAGUAUUUCAAAACUUGUUUCCGGGUAGGAAACGUUUCAAAUGAUAGAUCUUGAUUUAUGUUUAAAACUAUGAAUACCGUCGUGUUGUGAAUGGUGAAUGUAUGGACGUCUGUAUGUGCGGUUGAGGUUGUAUGUUCAUAUGGUUGUGGUUGUAUUCUGGUUGUACUUUGGUUAUAUAAUUGUACUUGUGCGACGCCGUGCAAAUACAGGGGAGACUCUGUCCGUGUGAACAGUGGAUUCCUUGUAUUUGUGGCGGAUCUGACAUACUCUGGGGUCAGGUGUUUCAAAAAAAAAAUUUAGUCGUUUCCGCUGUUUUUCCAAACUAAAAAGGGACCCCGGGGCGUAACACUACCCUAGAGACCUGAGAUAGCAGUAUCCCGAGUCGGCAUAACCUAGGGGUCUAGAAAAUGAAAAGAACAAAAUGUAUCUAAAUUGUAAAAAUUGUAAUAACUUAGAUUGUAUUUGGAAGAAAGUAAACUUGUAAAAUGUAUGAAGGUGAAUGCUUGUAAUAAUUUAGGUGUUUAUGUUUUUGAUACUUCCUUAUGCAAUCUUUGCUUGAAUACUAUUCUUAGUUGGAACUUCGUGUAUUAUAUUGAUUGCGACGUCUAGAACGUACAGGGGAAACUCUGUCCGUUCGGUGGUCUGUCGGCAUGCCCGAAUCCGACCAAAUAGGCGGGUCGCGGUGCGUGACAAUAGUAGCCGGACUCUAUAUAUAUAGAGAGCUAGGCUGGAAUACGACUGAUAGUAAAAGGCCCUUUUUGCUAUCAAGUUUUUAACCCUUGGAUGAGAAAUUGUACGGUUAGGGUGAUAUUAGUCCCUUAGGGUUGAGUGGUCCUCACUGGGUUAUAAUAUUUAAUCCAAUGGUUAGAAAUUAUGAAAGGAAUUGAUCUAAAAGCUAAAAACUUGAUAGCAAAAAGGGUCUUUUGCUAUUAAUAGUAUUCUAACCCAACUCUCUCUCUCUCUAUAUAUAUAUAUAUUGGAGUCCGGCUACUAUACUCUUAUGAGUACGAUCGCCCUCGUACUCAUAAGUCAUUUUCGAUGAUAGAAUUUCCGAAUCGACGAUCCAUGCCGUCAAAUGUUAUCUUGAGCAUUUAAAACUUUUAUAAAUCAAAUCUUAUAAUUUUUUGACAUCAUUUGCCUUACGGUCAAAGGGUCACAAAAUUGACAAUUUUUAACGGUCGGUAUGGAAUACUUGCUAGUUUAACGGUGUAAAAGAAUUGGAAUUGGUUGAAUUUUUAAUAGAAAAUUCUAUUCACUACCUAGAUAAAGAUCAAUAACUCCGAUCUUAAAUUGAAGGAUCUAAUCAUCUAUUUUUAGGACGUUGUUCGAUUUCGACUGUUUAUUUUAUGCCCGUUUGAUGAACUUUAUUAUUAUUUCGAAAAAUUACGAAUUUAUUUUCUAGAAAUUUCAAAUGCUCUAGAUCAUAUUUAAUAGAGUGGAUCGUCGAUUCGAAAGCUCCAUCAUCGAAAACAACUUAUGAGUACGAAGUACUCUAUACUCAUAAUAGUAUAAUAGCCCUACUAUAUAUAUUGGACUAUAUAUUUUUUUAAUAGCAAGUGAAGAAAUAUAUAGUACAAUAGAUAAUGAUCAUCAAAGAUAAAAGGGUUCAUACUUUCCGGGAACCCUUAGGUACCCGGUUAAUUACGCCCUUUUUAUUCAUACGGGCCACCUCCGAUUAAGCUGGUCAUAAAAAUAAAAUACCCUCUUUUAAUAAUAAUCUUAUUUAUUACUUUUUUUAAUAAUAAUAAUAGUAGCAAUAGAUGCCAACUAGGUGCUCAUCAUAUACUUUUAACAUAUACAUACACACAUACAUAUAUAACUACAUAUACAUAUACAUACAUACAUACAUACAUAUAUAUAUAUAUAUAUAUAUAUAUAUAUAUAGAGAGAGAGAGAGAGAGAGAGAGAGAGAGAGAGAGAGAGAGAGAGAGAGAGAGAGAGAGUUGGACUGGGCUACUAUUAGUAGCAAAAUCUCAUUGUUGCUACCAGUUUUUUAGCCUUUGGAUCAACUCUUUUUAUUAUUUCUAACCAUUGGAUUAAAUAAUAUAACCCAGUGGGGACCACUCAACCCUAGGGGGACCAUUCAACUCUAACCGACUAAUAUCAUCCUGACCCUACAAUUUUUCAUCCAAGAGUUAAAAACUUGAUAGCAAAAAGAGCGUUUUACUAUUAAUAGUAUUCCAGUCUAAUUCUAUAUAUAUAUAAUAUAAUAUAUAUUAUAUAAUAUAAUAUAUAUAUAUAUAUUUAUAUAUAUAUAUAUAUAUAUAUAUAUAGGGCUGCUGUGCUCUAAGAGCAAGAGCAGCAGCAGCCGCUGGUGCUAUUAAACUUCCACCCUCCAUCAUGAUAGAUGAGGGCUGAGAUUUAAAGCCACCCAACAAUGGUUCCACUUUUAUCAGUGUUAGAAUUAACGGAUUAAUCACAGCAUCUUUCUCUCUCAUCUUUUCUUACUUUUCUUUUUUUCUUAUUCUAUUCUCUCUUCCCCAACUCCUUCCUCUCCUCUUCCAUCCUCUACUGUGGAUCCCUUCUCCCUGUGGAUCUCGUCGCCGCCGCUGCCACGCUGAGAAGAAAUCGCCCUUCGCAAAGGCACGCGCCCUCCGCCCCUCUCUCGAUCUACCCCCUCUUGAAGCUACCCUCGCCACCUUGCAUGAACCACCACCCCGCCGCCUUCGCCUGAAACGCCGCGCACUCACCCACCCCCGCACGUCAUGCCUGAACGCAUCCGAGCGCGCCCCAUCCACCCCUACGCACAACGCCUUUUGUAUCGCACCCCCUGCUGACCCGAGCGAACCUCACCACCCGGCCCCGCCCCCCCCCCCGGCACACUGGCGACCCGCUCCGCCUGAAGCAUCCCCUACACAAAAAAUAGAAAAAAAAAUAAGAAAAAUAAAGGCUUGAAGCCACCUUCCCUUAAAACCAAUAAAAAAAAUCCGUAAUGCAAUUUUUUUCCAACUUAAUAUACCGUCUACCUGCUGCACGCCCACCUGAAGCAUUCUCCUCCCUCCAAUCCAACCCAACCCAACCCAACACACAAAAAAUAGAAAAAAUCAAAGAAAGAAGAAAAAAAAACUGCCUGAAGCCACCCUUCCACAAAACCAAAAAGAAAAAUUAAGUUUCUAAUGCAAUUUUUUUCUAUUUUUUUUUAACUUAAUAUACUAAUUAACAGUUAUCUGAAUGCAGGUUAUCUGAAAUUAAUAGCACAAAAU